CGCGUAGGUAGUUGCGUCAGUCGGAUGUGAAAUCCCCAGGCUUAACCUGGGAACUGCAUCUGAUACUGCGUGACUCGAGUGCAGCAGAGGGAAACGGAAUUCCUGGUGUAGAGGUGAAAUUCGUAGAUAUCAGGAGGAACACCGGUGGCGAAGGCGGUUUCCUGGGCUGACACUGACACUGAGGCGCGAAAGCGUGGGUAGCAAACAGGAUUAGAUACCCUGGUAGUCCACGCUGUAAACGGUGAGUACUGGGUGUGGGAGGUGUAAUGCCUUCUGUGCCGAAGCUAACGCGUUAAGUACUCCGCCUGGGGAGUACGGCCGCAAGGUUGAA
This 331-nucleotide ribosomal RNA is filed under the name uncultured bacterium. RNAcentral's name for it is "bacterial SSU rRNA". It matches the Rfam family "Bacterial small subunit ribosomal RNA", at positions 568 to 898 of the family's 1533-position model. The record is from RNAcentral.